Molecule: ribosomal RNA, 253 nt
Filed under: uncultured bacterium
Lineage: Bacteria
Description: partial 16S ribosomal RNA
Rfam family: Bacterial small subunit ribosomal RNA
Source: RNAcentral
GACGGAGGAUGCAAGUGUUAUCCGGAAUCACUGGGCGUAAAGCGUCUGUAGGUGGUUUAUUAAGUCUAUUGUUAAAUCUUGAGGCUUAACCUCAAAUCAGCAAUGGAUACUGAUAGACUAGAGUGUGAUAGAGGUAAGAGGAAUUUCCAGUGGAGCGGUGAAAUGCGUAGAGAUUGGAAAGAACACCGAUGGCGAAAGCAUCUUACUGGGUCAAAACUGACACUGAGAGACGAAAGCUAGGGUAGCAAAUGGG